Molecule: ribosomal RNA, 235 nt
Filed under: uncultured Glomus
Lineage: Eukaryota; Fungi; Glomeromycota; Glomeromycetes; Glomerales; Glomeraceae
Description: partial small subunit ribosomal RNA
Rfam family: Eukaryotic small subunit ribosomal RNA
Source: RNAcentral
AACUCGUAGUUGAUUUCGGAACCGAUGGAUCGGUCACGCCAUUCGGUGUGUACUGGUUUAAUUGGUUCUCACCUUCUAAGGAACCGUGAUGUCAUUAAUUUGGUGUCGCGGGAAAUUAGGACUGUUACCUUGAAAAAAUUAGAGUGUUUAAAGCAAGCUCACGCUUGAAUACAUUAGCAUGGAAUAAUGAAAUAGGACAUUGUAUUCUAUUUUGUUGGUUUCUAGGAUCGAUGUA